ACUUUUACACGGAGCUUGCUCUGGUGGCGAGUGGCGAACGGGUGAGUAAUAUAUCGGAACGUACCCUGGAGUGGGGGAUAACGUAGCGAAAGUUACGCUAAUACCGCAUACGAUCUACGGAUGAAAGUGGGGGAUCGCAAGACCUCAUGCUCGUGGAGCGGCCGAUAUCUGAUUAGCUAGUUGGUAGGGUAAAAGCCUACCAAGGCAUCGAUCAGUAGCUGGUCUGAGAGGACGACCAGCCACACUGGAACUGAGACACGGUCCAGACUCCUACGGGAGGCAGCAGUGGGGAAUUUUGGACAAUGGGCGAAAGCCUGAUCCAGCAAUGCCGCGUGAGUGAAGAAGGCCUUCGGGUUGUAAAGCUCUUUUGUCAGGGAAGAAACGGUGAGGGCUAAUAUCCCUUGCUAAUGACGGUACCUGAAGAAUAAGCACCGGCUAACUACGUGCCAGCAGCCGCGGUAAUACGUAGGGUGCAAGCGUUAAUCGGAA
This 489-nucleotide ribosomal RNA is filed under the name uncultured Janthinobacterium sp. RNAcentral's name for it is "bacterial SSU rRNA". It matches the Rfam family "Bacterial small subunit ribosomal RNA", at positions 66 to 550 of the family's 1533-position model. Lineage: Bacteria; Pseudomonadati; Pseudomonadota; Betaproteobacteria; Burkholderiales; Oxalobacteraceae. The record is from RNAcentral.